Molecule: transfer RNA, 77 nt
Filed under: Pelomonas sp. Root1237
Lineage: Bacteria; Pseudomonadati; Pseudomonadota; Betaproteobacteria; Burkholderiales; Sphaerotilaceae
Description: tRNA-Thr
Rfam family: tRNA
About the family: Transfer RNA (tRNA) molecules are approximately 80 nucleotides in length. Their secondary structure includes four short double-helical elements and three loops (D, anti-codon, and T loops).
Source: RNAcentral
GCCCCCUUAGCCCAGAGGUCUAAGGCACCUGCCUUGUAAGCAGGCGAUCGUCCGUUCGAAUCGGACAGGGGGCUCCA